This 251-nucleotide ribosomal RNA is filed under the name uncultured prokaryote. Its description in RNAcentral is "partial 16S rRNA". It matches the Rfam family "Bacterial small subunit ribosomal RNA", at positions 525 to 775 of the family's 1533-position model. The record is from RNAcentral.
ACGGAGGAUGCAAGCGUUAUCCGGAUUUAUUGGGUUUAAAGGGUGCGUAGGCGGAUUGAUAAGUCAGUGGUGAAAACCUACAGCUUAACUGGAGAACUGCCAUUGAUACUGUUAGUCUUGAGUACGGUCGAGGUAGGCGGAAUGUGUGAUGUAGAGGUGAAAUGCUUAGAUAUUACGCGGAACACCGAUUGCGAAGGCAGCUUACUGGAACAUUACUGACGCUGAGGCACGAAAGCGUGGGGAGCGAACAG